AGGGCAGUGACUAUGAGACCUUCAAAAACUUCUUUGUGGAAGCCUCUAUGUCAGUGGUCCUGAAACUGUUCCCACAGCUGGAGGGGAAGGUGGAGAGUGUGACUGCAGGAUCCCCACUCACCAACCAGUUCUGGCUGCUCCCCGAGGUGUCUGCUACAGGGCUGACCAUGACCUGGGCCGCCUGCACCCUCGUGUGAUGGCCUUGAAGGCCCAGAGCCCCAUCACCAACCUCUGACAGGUAUACUCACUGCCCCAUGUUGUCAGGACCUGAGACCCUGGGCCCCUGUCGCCCAACGUCCUCUGUUCCUGCCCUCAGGCCCUGCUGUCCCCUGCAGCCUCCCAUCCCCUGAGCAGGGCUGCCUGGGCAGGCUGUGGCCCCUGUCUGAUUGGAGCCAGCUCUGGGUGGCCCUCAUGUGGAGGGAAGAGCACCAAGGCCCCACCCUCCCCUGGGCCUGCCUGGGUGCACACUCAGGGGCCUCUGCUCUUGCCUCCUAGGCCAGGGUAUCUUCACCUGUGGACUGGUAGGGGCCCUGCAAGGUGCCCUGCUGUGCAGCAGCGCCAUCCUGAAGUGGAACUUGUACUCAGACCUUAAGGAUCUUGUCUCUAGGAUCUGGGCACAGAAGAAUUAGUUCCAUCAGGGAGGAGUCAGAGGAAUUUGCCCAAUAGCUGGGGCAUUAGUUCCUUGCACAUAUAAACCACUCUUAUUUGGUUCUGAUGCCUGAAGAGAGGCCUAGUUUAAAUCACAAUUCCGAAUCUGGGGCAAUGGAAUCACUGUUUCCAGCUGGGGCAGGUGAGAUCUUUCCACCUUCUAUAAUAUGCCAUCCCUACUAAUAGGAUAUUGACUUGGAUAGCUUGAUGUCUCAUGACGAGCGGCGCUCUGCAUCCCUCACCCAUGCCUCCUAACUCAGUGAUCAAAGCGAAUAUUCCAUCUGUGGA
This 936-nucleotide long non-coding RNA is filed under the name Homo sapiens (human). RNAcentral describes it as "HSALNT0303941". Lineage: Eukaryota; Metazoa; Chordata; Mammalia; Primates; Hominidae. The record is from RNAcentral.